CGCGGGGUGGAGCAGCACGGUAGCUCGUCGGGCUCAUAACCCGAAGGUCAUAGGUUCAAAUCCUGUCCCCGCUACCA
RNAcentral lists this transfer RNA (77 nucleotides) under Candidatus Scalindua sp. Its description in RNAcentral is "tRNA-Met". It matches the Rfam family "tRNA". From Rfam's summary of the family: Transfer RNA (tRNA) molecules are approximately 80 nucleotides in length. Their secondary structure includes four short double-helical elements and three loops (D, anti-codon, and T loops). The record is from RNAcentral. RNAcentral also lists the same sequence under 1 other name. Lineage: Bacteria; Pseudomonadati; Planctomycetota; Candidatus Brocadiia; Candidatus Brocadiales; Candidatus Scalinduaceae.